UACGGGGGGAGCAAGCGUUGUUCGGAUUUACUGGGCGUAAAGGGCGCGUAGGCGGUCAGCACAAGUCAGUUGUGAAAUCUCCGGGCUUAACUCGGAAAGGUCAACUGAUACUGUGCGACUAGAGUGCAGAAGGGGCAACUGGAAUUCUCGGUGUAGCGGUGAAAUGCGUAGAUAUCGAGAGGAACACCAGUGGCGAAGGCGGCUACCUGGACCGGUUCUGACGCUGAUGCGCGAAAGCGUGGGUAGCAAACAGG
This 254-nucleotide ribosomal RNA is filed under the name uncultured bacterium. Its description in RNAcentral is "partial 16S ribosomal RNA". It matches the Rfam family "Bacterial small subunit ribosomal RNA", at positions 524 to 776 of the family's 1533-position model. The record is from RNAcentral.